This 226-nucleotide ribosomal RNA is filed under the name uncultured Atopobium sp. Its description in RNAcentral is "partial 16S ribosomal RNA". It matches the Rfam family "Bacterial small subunit ribosomal RNA", at positions 130 to 354 of the family's 1533-position model. Lineage: Bacteria; Bacillati; Actinomycetota; Coriobacteriia; Coriobacteriales; Atopobiaceae. The record is from RNAcentral.
CCUUUGCACUGGGAUAGCCUCGGGAAACCGAGGUUAAUACCGGAUACUCCAUAUUUGUCGCAUGGCGAAUAUGGGAAAGCUCCGGCGGCAAAGGAUGGGCCCGCGGCCUGUUAGCUAGUUGGUGGGGUAGUGGCCUACCAAGGCAAUGAUGGGUAGCCGGGUUGAGAGACCGACCGGCCAGAUUGGGACUGAGACACGGCCCAGACUCCUACGGGAGGCAGCAGGC